CCCUGUUCUUUCUUUGUAUAUAUCUUUGAUCAAAUCAGGCCAAAGAUCAAUAUUUUCAUCUGCCAAAUUUCUCUCCUUUUCUUUUUCUAGGAAAACACACACACACACACACACCUAAUUCAUUUCUCAAGUUUCCUCUCUUUCAGUGUAUAAAAUUAGGGUUUCUGGGGGGAAGAAGAUAGAUGCCUUCUUCAAAAAUCUAAUUUCUGCUGAGAUGCAAUAAAUGGAAAUCCAAUUUACAUCGAGGAUUAAUUUGAAUAAAUAUCAAUCAUAAUUUAAUUACGAUUAAUUUAAAUAAAUAUUAAUCAUAUAAUUUAAUUAUGUUACAUUCUUAAUUCAUUCUCAUUAAUUUCUCACCACAUUUAAUCAUUCUUACUACCCUAAAAAAAUCAUUCAUUUCUCACCACAAGCAAAUUGUCUCUCGAUUAAGGAAGAUUAAUUGGUUCAUCAUUCAUAGUGUAUGAAAUGUCGAUGGUUUCUGUCUACAUUUUAUUUUACUACCUUAGUUUAAUUCUGAGUAUGAGAUUUGUGUAUAUAUGAAGGGGCCGGUUAUAUAAUAGGUCCCAGAUCUAACAAUUCGAAUAUAAUGUUUUAAUUAAAUUUUAGUUGUUAUGUACAUUGGAGUUUUUGUGAUUAAACAAAUAAACAUAUACUGAAUAUGAUUUUAUUAAUAGGUUGCAGCUUAUCAAGACAAUUAUGAAUUAUGUUUGUGGAGGCAUCUUAGUUUUUCAUGAUAUACACGAAAAGAUUAAAUUUCUCAUUUUUUGUAUAGUUGUAUUUGCGACGAGAUUCUCUGGUACGUAAUUAAUGAGUAUUAAUUUAAUCAGUUAACAUGCACAAUUAUUGUUGGAGCGUAUAUAAAUAAAGGCAAAUUAUUGGGUGCGACCGGUUUGAAAGUUUACAUUUCUUCACAAUAAUAUUUACUUUUAUUCAUAAUUUUUUUUACUUUUAGUUAUUUUCACUCAUUAAUACUUAUAUUCUUAACUAUUUAGUCAAAUAAUCAUUGUCGUACAAAAAGUAAUUAUUGUUACAAUGAAAUGUAAUAUUUCUAAAGUAUUACAUUUAUUCAUGAUAAGUGUUACUUUUAUUUAUGAGAACUUGUACUAUUACGAAUAUAUAUCUUAUGCUUAUUAAAAGUAAUCGAUCGCAUAUAUAAUAUGCGGCCGGUCGCAUGCAAGACCAACUGAUAAAUAAAUAUUUAUCGAAAACAUGGUUAAUGAAUUGCUUUAAACGGUUUAGAACUUUCUCCUGGCCAGACAGCUAAUUAAAUUCUUGCUAAUUAGGAUGCAAUGGUUUUAUUUAAUCAUCAUAUGUCUCUUAUUGUAUAGGAGAAUUAUCAAAUAAAAAUCAUCGACAUAAUUCUAUAAAAUAAAAAUCAAUUUAAUCCGUAAAUUUUUAUCGAUAGAUAUUUAAGAUUGAUUUUGUAUGUCUUUUUACACACAAAUUAAUGCUUUUUUAUGAUUACAAUUUUUUAAACAUAAAAUAAUAUUUUCUUUGUUAUUAUGCUUUUUCAAAUACGAAAUAAUGAUUUUAUUAUAUUAAAGUUAUACUUUAUUCACAAUUAACAGAAUGGUUUGUGUAUUCUCAUUUUAAGUAAGGUUUAUUAUAUGAACCACUUUUUCUUAUAUAUAUAAGUAUAUUAUCACUACAAAAAUAAUCCUGAAUAGUGGCGGAUUUUAGUGACAGAAGGGAUUAUUUAUAUAUUCUCAUUGUAAAAAUUGCAGCGUUAAUAUUUCCAUCAUUAACGACGAUAAUUAGUGGUCGUCGUUAAUCCGUCGCUAAUCUGUACUUAGAGUUAUGUCACAUUAUGAUUUUUUAUUGUUUUUCAAAUCAUUAUUAGAAGUCAGGUAUAUCAUAUUGUGUUAUUCUUAAUAAUUGAUAAACCACAUUAUAAUGUCCAACUGUGUGUGUCUCCUUUUCUAGUUUAUUUUUUCAGUGUAGAUUAAUUGUUUUAUCUAAUUAAUUAAUUCCUAUAUAUCAAUACGCACAAAACCGUUCGUUGCAACAUAACUUUAGCUUUUGACUUUUCCUUUAAAAUAAACAGGUAGUGUUUGGUAGACCUACUCCAACUUCUACAUCCAAAAGCUGAUGAGAAGAAAAUAGAAAUUCAUAAAAAAGAAAUUCAGAAUAAUCCAAAUAAUGAAAGCAUCUGUUAGGUGUACAACAUUUGAACUUCAAUAAUUUUAAUUAUAUAUAGAUAUAUAUAGAGUGAGAAUGAUUAUUUUCGUAAGAAAUCUAAAUAACGAAUAAGUUAGUAUAUAUGACUGAAUAAACUGUUUGUAAUAUAUGAAUAGUCGUAAUUAGUUAAUUGAUGAAAUUUUUGCCCCAUCAAAAUUUGAACUCAUAUUUGAAUAAUUAUUCGUGCAUUGCAAACAACUUAUUCAAACUUAUUCCUCCACUUGCGAAAUGUUCCACCACCAACAAUAUAUUCAUGGGGUAUAAGUAACUUGAGGUCAUGAUUGAAAUUGACAGAUUUAUUUUAGGUCUUAAUAAAUGGUUGGUUUAUUAAUAUUGUCUUGAUUGUUGAUACUUAUUAAAUAGAUUAUUGUUCAAUUGUAUAAAUUAUUACUAAUGAAAAUUAGUAAAUUUUUGAGGAAAAAAAGAUUAGUGAAGUUUAUGUAAUGAAGAUUGUCAAAAGCGUCCGAUGAAACCUAACUCAAAUGGUAAAAUUGAGGCACUCAAAGACUCUAUUUUGUGAGAGGUUUUGGAUUCAAUCCCGCCUGCGUGCAGGUAGUUUUUCCACCGUAUGGGUAGUGUUCCGUCUGCGUGCGGUUGCUUUCCCAUCUUUGUGUGGUGUAGGGUUCCGUAUGCGUGCGGGGAUUGCUGAUUUGUUUAUAUAUUAAAUAUCUCUCGUAAUUCUAAAAAAAAAAGGAUUGUCAAAAGCGAUUUGCAAAUUGUAUGAAAGACGAGUGAAUAAAUGAUAGUUUACUCAUAUA
This is a long non-coding RNA of Salvia miltiorrhiza (redroot sage), 2936 nucleotides long. RefSeq lists it as uncharacterized. The transcript has 2 exons. The record is from RefSeq and is a predicted model, not a curated record. Lineage: Eukaryota; Viridiplantae; Streptophyta; Magnoliopsida; Lamiales; Lamiaceae.